UACGUAGGGGGCUAGCGUUGUCCGGAAUCAUUGGGCGUAAAGAGCGUGUAGGCGGCCCGGUAAGUCCGCUGUGAAAGUCGGGGGCUCAACCCUCGGAUGCCGGUGGAUACUGUCGGGCUCGAGUACGGAAGAGGCGAGUGGAAUUCCUGGUGUAGCGGUGAAAUGCGCAGAUAUCAGGAAGAACACCCGUGGCUAAGGCGGCUCUCUAGUACGGUACUGACGCUGAGACGCGAAAGCGUGGGUAGCAAACAGG
Molecule: ribosomal RNA, 253 nt
Filed under: uncultured bacterium
Lineage: Bacteria
Description: partial 16S ribosomal RNA
Rfam family: Bacterial small subunit ribosomal RNA
Source: RNAcentral